GGAUGAGACUGUUAGAGAAAAUGGGGUAUAAGGGAGGUGGAUUAGGGAAGAAUCAGCAAGGGAUUGUGGCCCCAAUUGAAGCGAAGAUGAGGCCUAAGAAUAUGGGAAUGGGUUUCAACGAUUUUAAAGAAACUUCAGCUAAGGUGCCUCAGCUGGAGGAGAUUAAGAGUGUGGCCCAAAGCCAGAGCCAGAGUCAGACUGUGGGGAGAGCAAAGGAGAGGCUCUGGAUGAA
This 232-nucleotide unclassified non-coding RNA is filed under the name Hevea brasiliensis (rubber tree). The record is from RNAcentral. Lineage: Eukaryota; Viridiplantae; Streptophyta; Magnoliopsida; Malpighiales; Euphorbiaceae.